Molecule: ribosomal RNA, 253 nt
Filed under: uncultured bacterium
Lineage: Bacteria
Description: partial 16S ribosomal RNA
Rfam family: Bacterial small subunit ribosomal RNA
Source: RNAcentral
UACGUAGGUGGCAAGCGUUGUCCGGAAUUAUUGGGCGUAAAGCGCGCGCAGGCGGUCCUUUAAGUCUGAUGUGAAAGCCCACGGCUCAACCGUGGAGGGUCAUUGGAAACUGGGGGACUUGAGUGCAGGAGAGAAGAGUGGAAUUCCACGUGUAGCGGUGAAAUGCGUAGAGAUGUGGAGGAACACCAGUGGCGAAGGCGGCUCACUGGUCUGGUACUGACGCUGAGGUGCGAAAGCGUGGGGAGCAAACAGG